GCUAAAGCGAUGAAAGGAACUAGUAGCAAGGUCGUUUCUCUUCAGAGAGUCGGUGGGUGGUGCAAACCGAUGGGAAACACUUGUGAAUCCAUCCUGGAGUAAAAUGCCGAACGCGCAAGCUAGUAAGCAUUUUCGGCUUUUCGCCGUUAUCGAUUCAAGCGGAAGACAGCCUCGUCUUCAAUUAGGGUGGCAACGCGGGAUUACUCUCGUCCCUUUU
Non-coding RNA from Geobacillus sp. WCH70, 217 nucleotides. NCBI's taxonomy places the organism in Bacteria, Bacillati, Bacillota, Bacilli, Caryophanales, Anoxybacillaceae. The record is from Rfam.